UCAAAGGAGGUCAAAGAGGAAGACUUUUUCCUAGGCUUUACUUGGCUUUACUUGGCUCGCCCCUUCUAAUUCAUUACAUUGUGAAAUAUUUGGAAUUUUUGCAGUCUUUUGAAAGGGAAAAAGACCACUGCGCAGAGUGAAAAGACUUAUUUCCUCCCUGAGACCCACAGAGAAGGCUGCUAACAACUAAGCCCUGUCAUCCUCCGUUCUCAAGUGAGUUGGUGACUUCACUAGCCCGCUAUGGACUUCCUCACCUUCCUUUCCAACCACCCUGAGAAGCAACCUGGUAUCGUGAGAGCAGCUCUGGAUUAGAAGGCACUGAGAUUCAGCCCUGCCAUGAGGACAGUGUUCUGGCUUGACCAUGUAGAGACAAGAAAACCCCCCAACCCAACUUGGAGGAGGAGCUGAUGAUGGAAGCAUGACGUCUACUCAAGAAUGAGGAAGAAAGUGGUCUUUUCCCCCUCUUCACUUUUCCCUUUGAUUAUGAAACUGUAGCCCUCUAAGUUCUCGGG
This is a long non-coding RNA of Cervus elaphus (red deer), 512 nucleotides long. RefSeq lists it as uncharacterized. Lineage: Eukaryota; Metazoa; Chordata; Mammalia; Artiodactyla; Cervidae. The transcript is spliced from 3 exons. The record is from RefSeq and is a predicted model, not a curated record.